UCAUCAAUUAAAGGACGCAAAUAAACAUCAAUAUCCUUUCCUGGUUCUUGAGGACCAGGAAUAAGCAAUGACAUUAUCAUAAAUGGGUCCUUAAAACAUUUCCAAGGAGGAAGAUUAUAAGGAACGAGAAUGACAGGCCACAUACUAUACGAUGUGCUCAUGUUACCGAAUGGGUUAAAGCCAUCAGUUGCAAGACCGAGUCUAAUAUUACGGGGUUCUUGUGAAAACCAGGGAUGAUUCUUGUCAAAUUCUUUCCAUUCUUCAGAAUCAGC
This 272-nucleotide long non-coding RNA is filed under the name Solanum tuberosum (potato). Its description in RNAcentral is "long non-coding RNA (STUB_LNC008967)". The record is from RNAcentral. Lineage: Eukaryota; Viridiplantae; Streptophyta; Magnoliopsida; Solanales; Solanaceae.